GAAGAUCAGCAAACGGAACCCCUUUGAAGACGUCCAUGUGGUGCCGGAAGCCAAGACGGAUGUUCUCGCCUUCCACCAUGCCGCCCUCCGUGUACACCACCCCCAGCUGAAGAUGCAAAUGACCAUCAGACAUUUGGAGGCGGCAGACACCGUCUCCAGAAUGACGGCAACGGUGAGCAAGAUGGCCAGCUUCUCCAUCAUGACCAGAAUGAGUUCUUCGAUGACUUGGUCGCUGGACUUUUAUAAAGCGGACACACCCCCGGAGCCACCUAUGAAAAUACAAACUACACUUCAUGAUCCCGGCAAGAAGUUAAUUUGGCAGCAGUCUUUCUGAUUCAAGUCUGGACAUGGGAGAACUGACACGGGUACGGCCGGGUGUCCGAGUGGAUGAGAAGGUGCGUGGACAGCGUGGAGGAGCGCUUGAAGGACUUGCCGCACAUCUUGCACUCAAAACUUUUUUCCUGGACAAACACGGAAUGUGUCACGUGGUCAGUGCAAGAAGAACUUCAAUCAAUUUCAGAUUUUUGAGAUUGAGGAUUAUUAUUUCAUUUUAUUUUAUUGAAACAUUUGAUUAUUUUAUUAAACAUUUAUUGAAAAACACAAAAUAACAUAUUUUGCCUUCUAUCAUAGCGACCAUCUUGAAUCAUAGACCCUAUUUCAGAAAUCGUACCUGGGAGUGAACAUUCAUGUGUUGCUCGAGACUGACUGCGUGGCCAAAGGUUUUUCUGCAGAUGCUGCAGCCAAAAGGUCUCGUUCCGCUGUGGGACCUCCUGACGUGAACUUCCAGGCCGUGAGGUGUUGAGAACACCUGAAGCACAGACAACAAAAUUGCAAAUCGUGAUCCUGAACUUACUGGCAUAACCUGUUUUCACUUUCAAAUGUUGAAUUAUAA
This is a long non-coding RNA of Syngnathus acus (greater pipefish), 892 nucleotides long. RefSeq lists it as uncharacterized. The transcript is spliced from 4 exons. The record is from RefSeq and is a predicted model, not a curated record. NCBI's taxonomy places the organism in Eukaryota, Metazoa, Chordata, Actinopteri, Syngnathiformes, Syngnathidae.